GCGAACCAGUUGAUGUCGGCGUCUUUCUUGUACUCGCCCGGGCGGGUCAGCGUGGUACCUGGGAACAGCACGCUGU
This 76-nucleotide transfer RNA is filed under the name Methylibium petroleiphilum PM1. RNAcentral describes it as "tRNA-Glu". Lineage: Bacteria; Pseudomonadati; Pseudomonadota; Betaproteobacteria; Burkholderiales; Sphaerotilaceae. The record is from RNAcentral.